RNAcentral lists this ribosomal RNA (421 nucleotides) under Dendropsophus walfordi group sp. ABGD cluster 64. RNAcentral's name for it is "partial large subunit ribosomal RNA". It matches the Rfam family "Archaeal large subunit ribosomal RNA", at positions 1927 to 2510 of the family's 2987-position model. Lineage: Eukaryota; Metazoa; Chordata; Amphibia; Anura; Hylidae. The record is from RNAcentral.
CUUGAUAUCUAUAAGAGGUCCAGCCUGCCCAGUGACGAAGUUCAACGGCCGCGGUAUCCUAACCGUGCGAAGGUAGCGUAAUCACUUGUUCUUUAAAUGAGGACUAGUAUGAAUGGCACCACGAGGGUUAUACUGUCUCCUUUUUCUAAUCAAUGAAACUAAUCUCCCCGUGAAGAAGCGGGGAUAAACUUAUAAGACGAGAAGACCCUAUGGAGCUUUAAACAACAGUAGCACUAGCCUUCAUCUUUAUAUUUGAGAAAUGCAACUAUUAUAUUGGCUAACAUGACUAUUAGUUUUAGGUUGGGGUGACCGCGGAGCAAAAACUAACCUCCACAUUGAACGGAGCUUUCCUGAGCUAAAAGCUACAACUUUAAGCACCAAUAAAUUGACAUCAAUUGACCCAACACGUUGAGCAACGAAC